GAAAUUUGGAUUAAUACCUCAUAGUAUGUUGACCUCGCAUGAGGACAAUAUUAAAGGUUACGGCAAAAGAUGAGUAUGCGUUCUAUUAGCUAGAUGGUGUGGUAACGGCACACCAUGGCGACGAUAGAUAGGGGCCCUGAGAGGGGGAUCCCCCACACUGGUACUGAGACACGGACCAGACUCCUACGGGAGGCAGCAGUGAGGAAUAUUGGACAAUGGAGGCAACUCUGAUCCAGCCAUGCCGCGUGCAGGAAGACUGCCCUAUGGGUUGUAAACUGCUUUUAUACAGGAAGAAACACUCUCACGUGUGAGAGCUUGACGGUACUGUAAGAAUAAGGAUCGGCUAACUCCGUGCCAGCAGCCGCGGUAAUACGGGGGAUCCAAGCGUUAUCCGGAAUCAUUGGGUUUAAAGGGUCCGUAGGUGGAUAAUUAAGUCAGAGGUGAAAUCCUGCAGCUCAACUGUAGAAUUGCCUUUGAUACUGGUUAUCUUGAGUUAUUAUGAAGUAGUUAGAAUAUGUAGUGUAGCGGUGAAAUGCAUAGAUAUUACAUAGAAUACCAAUUGCGAAGGCAGAUUACUAAUAAUCAACUGACACUGAUGGACGAAAGCGUGGGGAGCGAACAGGAUUAGAUACCCUGGUAGUCCACGCCGUAAACGAUGGUCACUAGCUGUUCGAACUUCGGUUUGAGUGGCUAAGCGAAAGUGAUAAGUGACCCACCUGGGGAGUACGUUCGCAAGAAUGAAACUCAAAGGAAUUGACGGGGG
RNAcentral lists this ribosomal RNA (763 nucleotides) under uncultured Bacteroidota bacterium. Its description in RNAcentral is "bacterial SSU rRNA". It matches the Rfam family "Bacterial small subunit ribosomal RNA", at positions 153 to 919 of the family's 1533-position model. Lineage: Bacteria; Pseudomonadati; Bacteroidota. The record is from RNAcentral.